This is a transfer RNA of Ovis aries (sheep), 72 nucleotides long. It matches the Rfam family "tRNA". From Rfam's summary of the family: Transfer RNA (tRNA) molecules are approximately 80 nucleotides in length. The record is from Rfam. Lineage: Eukaryota; Metazoa; Chordata; Mammalia; Artiodactyla; Bovidae.
UCCCUGGUAGUCCAGUGGUUGAGACUUUGCCUUGCAAUGCAGGGGGUGCGGGUUUAAUUCCUGCUCAGGGAG